RNAcentral lists this long non-coding RNA (1166 nucleotides) under Monodelphis domestica (gray short-tailed opossum). RNAcentral describes it as "lncRNA (ENSMODG00000049397.1)". Lineage: Eukaryota; Metazoa; Chordata; Mammalia; Didelphimorphia; Didelphidae. The record is from RNAcentral.
ACAUGAUCCAAUGUUCCGCGAUCCCCUUUCAGGCUAAUUAUUCACACAAACUACAAUAACAUCAUCGGCGUGAUCGCGCUGGAUUUCUCUCCUCCCUUAUCAACAAAUGACACUCGGGCUGGCCCUGAAAUUUCAGCCUGGGGAGUGAGUGCAGUGGUUAGUUCAUGAGGACUCUCGGGGAACAAAAGAUACCUUUCCAAUUAAAGUUAAUAGAGGGAUAACUUCAGACACACAAAGGGGAAGAAAGACACUUAUAAGUCAUGGUGAGUUCAAAAGGAAAGAAUUAAGGUGGAUACACAAAGCAUCAUGGGAAGCUCUAUUCAAGCCUGCCUGUCACAAAGCCUGAUUAACAGCUGCUCCAAGUUGGCCCGAUCACCAGGGAGUCUUACUGGUGGAAAUGUUCUUUCUUUCCAGCCCGGCUCUGUGGCCCCACUGGACCGGACACCGGAGCGGGAGAGAAGGAAGAGUGUCGUGGGACCUGGCCUGGGGAGGACAGGUGAUUCGUCCUCUCCCUUAGUGGGGAGGAACACUUGUCCUGGAUUCGAGGGGCUGCCAUUACUCUAAUGAACAAGUAAUGUGGUAUUCGGGAUGACCCCUGGCUGCCAUAGCAACAAAUCAUGACAUCAUGAAAACACAGGAUGACUUUAGGGUGGGAGAGGCAGCCACCUAAUGGGGAGGGCCCCCUCGCCUCCAUCGGGCGCUCAGCGAGUAGCCCAACCUAGGCCACCUCUUUGAGGCACAGAACGAGAUGCCUGCAGGUGUGUGUAGGAAGGGGGCGGGGAGGGCUGGGGGACAGAAACCCCCAAGAAUUCUUCCAAGUCUACAGAGAAACUCCAAAGAGGACAAGAAGGCUCCCAGCUGCCACGGAAGUGAAUUAUUGCCUCGCUCUAAAGGGGUGGCAGGCCAUUUCUCCGGGGCUGGUGAUGGCGGAGGGGGCAGGAUGGAGAGCUGACCUCCUGGCCCGUGGGCAGGUCAGAGUGGGCCUGAGAAAGGACUGUGGUGGCCUGGCCUGGGGCGAGGGGCUGGGCUUGGAGUUGGGGUGGCAGAAGGGUCAAACACGGCCACGUGUCCCACAACAUUCACACAUUCUUAACUGGGGCCCAAACCAGAUCAAAAUGUAGUUUGGACUAUUCCAUAAAAGACAAUAAAACCGAGCUACGAGUGCA